This 817-nucleotide ribosomal RNA is filed under the name Enterococcus faecium. Its description in RNAcentral is "bacterial LSU rRNA". It matches the Rfam family "Bacterial large subunit ribosomal RNA", at positions 1 to 816 of the family's 2925-position model. Lineage: Bacteria; Bacillati; Bacillota; Bacilli; Lactobacillales; Enterococcaceae. The record is from RNAcentral.
GAUAAGGUUAAGUGAAUAAGGGCGCACGGUGGAUGCCUUGGCACUAGGAGCCGAUGAAGGACGGGACUAACACCGAUAUGCUUUGGGGAGCUGUACGUAAGCUAUGAUCCAGAGAUUUCCGAAUGGGGGAACCCAGCAUCUUUAAUAGGAUGUUACGAUUGUGUGAAUACAUAGCACAUUCGAGGUAGACGCAGAGAACUGAAACAUCUAAGUACCUGCAGGAAGAGAAAGAAAAUUCGAUUCCCUGAGUAGCGGCGAGCGAAACGGGAAAAGCCCAAACCAGCAAGCUUGCUUGUUGGGGUUGUAGGACUCCAAUAUGGUAGUUCUUUCAGAUAGUCGAAUGACUUGGAAAAGUCAGUCAAAGAGGGUAAAAACCCCGUAGACGAAAUGUGGAAGACACCUAGGAGGAUCCUGAGUACGGCGGAACACGAGAAAUUCCGUCGGAAUCCGGGAGGACCAUCUCCCAAGGCUAAAUACUCCCUAGUGACCGAUAGUGAACCAGUACCGUGAGGGAAAGGUGAAAAGCACCCCGGAAGGGGAGUGAAAUAGAACCUGAAACCGUGUGCCUACAACAAGUCAAAGCCCGUUAAUGGGUGAUGGCGUGCCUUUUGUAGAAUGAACCGGCGAGUUACGAUUGCAUGCGAGGUUAAGUUGAAGAGACGGAGCCGCAGCGAAAGCGAGUCUGAAUAGGGCGUUUGAGUAUGUAGUCGUAGACCCGAAACCAUUGAAUCUACCCAUGUCCAGGUUCAAGUUGCGGUAACACGCACUGGCGGACCGAACCCACGUACGUUGAAAAGUGCGGGGAUGAGGUGUUGGU